AGAAAAAACAAGGAACGCCAGCAAUGUAAGCAGUUAACACCUAGCACCCUACUACAUUUUACAGUAAAGAAACACCAGAAUGGGAGACUCUGAGAGACGGUCCCGUUUUCCAUACUUUACUCUGAAGCAACAAGAGAAAGGAAGAUGUUCAAGCUGGACAGGCCACAUGGAACCAUCGUGCUGAUGUCACCAGCAGGAGGAGCCGUUGGCAACCGUGGAAACGGAACACUCUACACCGGACAGCAGCUGCCUCCUUCAGCUCAGGAUGCCUGAAGGUACCACAUCCUUCCUCGAAGCCUAUUGCUUUGUGGAGUUUUGUUUCAAAAAAACCCCAGCAGAGCUAAUAUUCUCAAGGUCCAGAUUUUGAAACAAAGCUACUGAUUUUAGGAUAAGAUUACGGUUUGCCAGAAUGUAAAAGCUUUCAUGUUUUCAUGUCUGUUCAGAGAGUAUUGAGAGAAAAGGACAGGUAGAAGAGGUGAAGAUAGCAGCAGCAGAGAAUGAACUCAAUUUCCAUUUUCAUUCCCCCUAUGCACAGCAGAAGUUAAAGAACAUUGCCUGCUUGUGGGAAAGACAACCCUCAGGCUGUGUGAGGAUCAACUGUGCCUUCCAUCACAGCAAACCUCGUUAUAUCAAUGGACUUUUUCUGCCACCUACUAACAAUGCGCCAUUGCCACAGGCUGACCAAGAAGUGAUUCUGCCUCCAGCCCAGUGUCAAGGCUCACUCACACGUCCAGAGAAUACUGUAAUACCAAUUCACCCUCCACUGAUUAUAAACCUCAACGAUGAAGAGGAUGAUGAAGAUGAUGAU
This is a long non-coding RNA of Pezoporus flaviventris, 808 nucleotides long. RefSeq lists it as uncharacterized. Lineage: Eukaryota; Metazoa; Chordata; Aves; Psittaciformes; Psittacidae. The transcript has 3 exons. The record is from RefSeq and is a predicted model, not a curated record.